CCGGGAUAGCUCAGUUGGUAGAGCAGAGGACUGAAAAUCCUCGUGU
Molecule: transfer RNA, 46 nt
Filed under: Riccia albolimbata
Lineage: Eukaryota; Viridiplantae; Streptophyta; Marchantiopsida; Marchantiales; Ricciaceae
Also listed under: 5 other names
Description: partial tRNA-Phe
Source: RNAcentral